This 789-nucleotide ribosomal RNA is filed under the name actinobacterium SCGC AAA043-I11. RNAcentral's name for it is "bacterial SSU rRNA". It matches the Rfam family "Bacterial small subunit ribosomal RNA", at positions 70 to 870 of the family's 1533-position model. The record is from RNAcentral. Lineage: Bacteria; Bacillati; Actinomycetota; Actinomycetes.
CAUGGUGUAGCAAUACACCGGAAGAUUUAGUGGCGAACGGGUGAGGAUCACGUGAGAAACCUGCCCCAGACUUUGGGAUAACAAUUGGAAACGAUUGCUAAUACCGAAUGACGUCGGAGAACCGCAUGGUUCACUGACGAAAGGAAAUCCGGUUUGGGAGGGUCUCGCGGCCUAUCAGCUUGUUGGUGGGGUAAUGGCCUACCAAGGCAACGACGGGUAGCUGGUCUGAGAGGAUGAUCAGCCACACUGGGACUGAGACACGGCCCAGACUCCUACGGGAGGCAGCAGUGGGGAAUCUUGCGCAAUGGGCGAAAGCCUGACGCAGCAACGCCGCGUGCGGGAUGAAGGCCUUCGGGCUGUAAACCGCUUUCAGCAGGAACGAAAAUGACGGUACCUGCAGAAGAAGGAGCGGCCAACUACGUGCCAGCAGCCGCGGUGACACGUAGGCUCCAAGCGUUGUCCGGAUUUAUUGGGCGUAAAGAGCUCGUAGGCGGUUUAGUAAGUCGGGUGUUAAAACUCUGGGCUCAACCCGGAGAGGCCAUCCGAUACUGCUGUGACUUGAGUUCAGGAGGGGAGCGGGGAAUUCCUAGUGUAGCGGUGAAAUGCGCAGAUAUUAGGAGGAACACCGGUGGCGAAGGCGCCGCUCUGGACUGAAACUGACGCUGAGGAGCGAAAGCAUGGGUAGCAAACAGGAUUAGAUACCCUGGUAGUCCAUGCCGUAAACGGUGGGCACUAGGUGUGGGUUCCAACUAACGGGAUCCGCGCCGUCGCUAACGCAUUAAGUGCCCC